Molecule: ribosomal RNA, 173 nt
Filed under: Staphylococcus hyicus
Lineage: Bacteria; Bacillati; Bacillota; Bacilli; Caryophanales; Staphylococcaceae
Description: partial 16S ribosomal RNA
Rfam family: Bacterial small subunit ribosomal RNA
Source: RNAcentral
UUUAUGGAGAGUUUGAUCCUGGCUCAGGAUGAACGCUGGCGGCGUGCCUAAUACAUGCAAGUCGAGCGAACUGACGAGGAGCUUGCUCCUUUGACGUUAGCGGCGGACGGGUGAGUAACACGUGGGUAACCUACCUAUAAGACUGGAAUAACUCCGGGAAACCGGGGCUAAUG